GUGCCAGCCGUUUGCGUUCAUUCCACUGGUAGGCAUCAUUUCAGAAAUAUUUUGAUUGAUUAGAAGAAAAGAAGAUAAUUCAAAUGGCCUUCCCCGACUUGUUACACAAGGAGCGUGACCAGAUUUUGGUACAAUCGAAUUCCCACGUGAGGACGCUGAUACUAAAUAGACCUCAGAAGCUGAAUGUCCUCUCAUAUGAAAUGGUUUCUCAAUUACUGAAGAACUUCAAAGCAUUUGAGGAGGACCGUGAUGUCAAGUUGGUGAUCUUGAAGGUAAAA
This is a long non-coding RNA of Magnolia sinica, 278 nucleotides long. RefSeq lists it as uncharacterized. The record is from RefSeq and is a predicted model, not a curated record. The transcript is spliced from 3 exons. Lineage: Eukaryota; Viridiplantae; Streptophyta; Magnoliopsida; Magnoliales; Magnoliaceae.